UGGCUGAGAUGGUAAAGAAUCUGCCUGGAAUGCAGGAUACCCGGGUUCAAUCCCUGG
Molecule: transfer RNA, 57 nt
Filed under: Bos taurus (domestic cattle)
Lineage: Eukaryota; Metazoa; Chordata; Mammalia; Artiodactyla; Bovidae
Also listed under: 5 other names
Source: Rfam by way of RNAcentral